UUGUUUUGCUUAUGGUUUCCUUUGCUGUGCAAAAGUUUGUAAGUUUGAUUAGGUCCCAUUUGUUUAUUUUUGUUUUUAUUUCUAUUUCCUUGGGAGACUGACUGCCUCAGGUACGAUUUGUCAGGCAAUGUUUUGCCUAUGUACUCUUCCAUGAGUUUUAUGGUGUCAUGUCUUAUGUUUAAGACUUUAAGCCAUUUUGAGUUUGUUUAUGUACAAGGUGGUGUGAG
Aethalodelphis obliquidens (Pacific white-sided dolphin) is the source of this 227-nucleotide long non-coding RNA. RefSeq lists it as uncharacterized. The record is from RefSeq and is a predicted model, not a curated record. The transcript has 3 exons. Lineage: Eukaryota; Metazoa; Chordata; Mammalia; Artiodactyla; Delphinidae.